AGCUAGUUGUAUUAACUAUUAGUUAAUACAAGAUCGACUAUGUCGACUAAAGUUCUAGGUAGAAUAAUGAUGAUGACAAUUUUCUACCUAUAUGUCUUGACCAAAUCUCGUGCCAGCAGUCGCGGUAAUACGUGAAAGACUAGUGUUAUUCAUCUUAAAUAGGUUUAAAGGGUACCUAGACGGUUUAUCUAGCCCAAAACAGGGUACGGAUUUUCUAGAGUUUUAUGUGAGGAGGGGAGUACUCAUAGAGUAGAGAUGAAAUUUUGUGAUACUAUGAGGAAACUGGUGGCGGCGAAAGCAACCUUCUAUGUAUAAACUGACGUUGAGGGACGAAGGCUUGGGUAGCAAAUAGGAUUAGAUACCCUAGUAGUCCAAGCAGACAAUUCUGAAUGCCAUAGAUUAGAUUUUUUUGGUCUAUAAAUGAAAGUGUAAGCAUUCCACCUUAGGAGUAAUGUGGCAACACAGGAACUGAAAUCAUUAGACCGUUUCUGAAACCAGUAGUGAAGUAUGUUAUUUAAUUUGAUAGUCCUCAAAAAACCUUACCACAACUUGAAUGUUAUUUAAUUAAUACAAGCGUUGCACGGCUGUCUUCAGUUAAUGUCGUGAGAUUUUGGUUAACUCCCUCAAUUAACGUAAACCCUUACUUUA
Molecule: ribosomal RNA, 648 nt
Filed under: Sarcogyne coeruleonigricans
Lineage: Eukaryota; Fungi; Ascomycota; Lecanoromycetes; Acarosporales; Acarosporaceae
Description: SSU rRNA
Rfam family: Bacterial small subunit ribosomal RNA
Source: RNAcentral